This 434-nucleotide ribosomal RNA is filed under the name uncultured Blautia sp. RNAcentral describes it as "partial 16S ribosomal RNA". It matches the Rfam family "Bacterial small subunit ribosomal RNA", at positions 341 to 792 of the family's 1533-position model. The record is from RNAcentral. Lineage: Bacteria; Bacillati; Bacillota; Clostridia; Lachnospirales; Lachnospiraceae.
ACGGGAGGUAGCAGUGGGGAAUAUUGCACAAUGGGGGAAACCCUGAUGCAGCGACGCCGCGUGAAGGAAGAAGUAUCUCGGUAUGUAAACUUCUAUCAGCAGGGAAGAUAAUGACGGUACCUGACUAAGAAGCCCCGGCUAACUACGUGCCAGCAGCCGCGGUAAUACGUAGGGGGCAAGCGUUAUCCGGAUUUACUGGGUGUAAAGGGAGCGUGGACGGAAAGGCAAGUCUGAUGUGAAAGGCAGGGGCUCAACUCCUGGACUGCAUUUGAAACUGUUUUUCUUGAGUACCGGAGGGGUAAGCGGAAUUCCUAGUGUAGCGGUGAAAUGCGUAGAUAUUAGGAGGAACCCCGGUGGCGAAGGCGGCUUACUGGACGGCAACUGACGUUGAGGCUCGAAAGCGUGGGGAGCAAACAGGAUUAGAUACCCUGGUA